ACAAGGAGCUUGCUCCUUUGACGUUAGCGGCGGACGGGUGAGUAACACGUGGGUAACCUACCUAUAAGACUGGGAUAACUUCGGGAAACCGGAGCUAAUACCGGAUAAUAUUUCGAACCGCAUGGUUCGAUAGUGAAAGAUGGUUUUGCUAUCACUUAUAGAUGGACCCGCGCCGUAUUAGCUAGUUGGUAAGGUAACGGCUUACCAAGGCGACGAUACGUAGCCGACCUGAGAGGGUGAUCGGCCACACUGGAACUGAGACACGGUCCAGACUCCUACGGGAGGCAGCAGUAGGGAAUCUUCCGCAAUGGGCGAAAGCCUGACGGAGCAACGCCGCGUGAGUGAUGAAGGUCUUCGGAUCGUAAAACUCUGUUAUUAGGGAAGAACAUACGUGUAAGUAACUGUGCACGUCUUGACGGUACCUAAUCAGAAAGCCACGGCUAACUACGUGCCAGCAGCCGCGGUAAUACGUAGGUGGCAAGCGUUAUCCGGAAUUAUUGGGCGUAAAGCGCGCGUAGGCGGUUUUUUAAGUCUGAUGUGAAAGCCCACGGCUCAACCGUGGAGGGUCAUUGGAAACUGGAAAACUUGAGUGCAGAAGAGGAAAGUGGAAUUCCAUGUGUAGCGGUGAAAUGCGCAGAGAUAUGGAGGAACACCAGUGGCGAAGGCGACUUUCUGGUCUGUAACUGACGCUGAUGUGCGAAAGCGUGGGGAUCAAACAGGAUUAGAUACCCUGGUAGUCCACGCCGUAAACGAUGAGUGCUAAGUGUUAGGGGGUUUCCGCCCCUUAGUGCUGCAGCUAACGCAUUAAGCACUCCGCCUGGGGAGUACGACCGCAAGGUUGAAACUCAAAGGAAUUGACGGGGACCCGCACAAGCGGUGGAGCAUGUGGUUUAAUUCGAAGCAACGCGAAGAACCUUACCAAAUCUUGACAUCCUUUGACAACUCUAGAGAUAGAGCUUUCCCCUUCGGGGGACAAAGUGACAGGUGGUGCAUGGUUGUCGUCAGCUCGUGUCGUGAGAUGUUGGGUUAAGUCCCGCAACGAGCGCAACCCUUAAGCUUAGUUGCCAUCAUUAAGUUGGGCACUCUAAGUUGACUGCCGGUGACAAACCGGAGGAAGGUGGGGAUGACGUCAAAUCAUCAUGCCCCUUAUGAUUUGGGCUACACACGUGCUACAAUGGACAAUACAAAGGGCAGCGAAACCGCGAGGUCAAGCAAAUCCCAUAAAGUUGUUCUCAGUUCGGAUUGUAGUCUGCAACUCGACUACAUGAAGCUGGAAUCGCUAGUAAUCGUAGAUCAGCAUGCUACGGUGAAUACGUUCCCGGGUCUUGUACACACCGCCCGUCACACCACGAGAGUUUGUAACACCCGAAGCCGGUGGAGUAACCAUUGGAGCUAG
RNAcentral lists this ribosomal RNA (1396 nucleotides) under Staphylococcus sp. RNAcentral's name for it is "bacterial SSU rRNA". It matches the Rfam family "Bacterial small subunit ribosomal RNA". Lineage: Bacteria; Bacillati; Bacillota; Bacilli; Caryophanales; Staphylococcaceae. The record is from RNAcentral.